UUUUUUUUAAAAAAAACAUUUAUUCCAUCAUUGCAUAUUUUAAAUAAAUUAAUCAUAUUUUUUAAUCAUUUAAAUUUUUAGGAUUAAUGAUUAGCACCAACGAAUCCGAUAAUAAAAGUGUAUUAUUUACAUUCUUUUAUGAAAAAAUUUUAAAUAUCAUUCAUAUGGUUUCACACUUUCUCACUUUAGUACCCUGUUGUUUAAAGUGUAUCAAUUUAGUGCCAUGUGAUUUCAUUUUUAUCUUUUUAUUAUUAAUUUCACUAAUUUUUUUGUUAAAUUAGUGACAAAGUUAAAAGUAAAAGUUAUUAAAGUAAAUAUUCAAUAAAUUUAAGUAAAAUAUAUGGAGAUUUUUAUAUAUAAUUUAACGAAAUAUUAACAAAAAAAUCAACGAAAAGAUAAAAAUGAAACUAUAUGAAACCAACUUGAUAUAUUUUAAACAACAAGCUACUAAAAUAAGAAAGUGUGAAACUAUAGAAGUGGUAUUUAAAAUUUACCUUUCUUUUUUAUAUUAGUCAUACAAUCAACUAGCAUAACGCGG
RNAcentral lists this long non-coding RNA (538 nucleotides) under Ananas comosus (pineapple). RNAcentral describes it as "long non-coding RNA (ACOM_LNC019280)". Lineage: Eukaryota; Viridiplantae; Streptophyta; Magnoliopsida; Poales; Bromeliaceae. The record is from RNAcentral.